Long non-coding RNA from Lagopus muta (rock ptarmigan), 2078 nucleotides. RefSeq lists it as uncharacterized. The record is from RefSeq and is a predicted model, not a curated record. Lineage: Eukaryota; Metazoa; Chordata; Aves; Galliformes; Phasianidae. The transcript has 5 exons.
UCCGCCACCCCGCGUCCUCGGCGCCGCCCGCCCCGUGCAGGGAGGUGCGGAGAGGACGGAGCCAGGCUGCACCCGGCAGUGCCCAGCAGGGGGACCGGAGGCACUGGGCACACGCUGCAGCGCUACUCAUCGGAUCACUGCGGGGACAGACGGGGACCAUGUGGAAGCGGACCAGUGCAGAUAAAAGACUGGUGAUGUUUCUUACUGGUGCUUGAAAACAAACACUCCAAAGCCCACGGAAAGAUCACCACCUCCAACCACAAAGCUACCAGAGGAACUGUAGAGCAUAACAGCUUCUAUAGCUACUGCUAUUAGAACUUUUUGAUCUCAAGUGCCUGCAAAGAUCACUCAAUCUGUCAGGCCUCCCCUGCCUCAAUUCCAACCUUCCCCUCAGCGAGCAGCUUUCUACCUCAGUCUUUAUUUUCUGAAAAAUCCUCAGGUGUGGCAUUUUGAAUCUGCCAACUCUGGUAUUCUUGAGCAACUCCAUCCUGUAGAGGACUGGAGGGAGAGCUUUUCUUCACACCUUGCUGUGUAUGAAAUCUACACUUGAACUGGACUCGAGAUGGGCAGAAAUGUAGCUGAGCAGAGCCUCCAGCAGCUCAGCCCUUUCCUUCAAACAAUGAAGAUGGCUUUAAUAUUCGUAAGUCAGAAAUCUCGUAUCAAAACUUAAUUCUGGUAUGGACGCAGCCUCGCUGUGGAAGACGUGGCAGGUGUGGUCUUUGAGUCACCACAGGUGUGGGACACGUGAAGUAAUCUGGACGUGUUUCAAUUUCUGUGUAUUUUUCCCCGUUUCUCUGAUCAUUUCUCUGUAUUGCUGCAUAUGGCAGGGAUUGCUGUCCUGGCCCAGAGCUCUGUUCCCUCAUGGGCUGCACUCGUUUUGCUGUCCCAUCAUUUGGGUUGCACAGGCCAUCCACGGCCAGUGUUCCCAUCCUCCUGGGCCUCCACACACAUGGCAGUUAGCAAGAAAGAGCAAAGUUGUUCAACCUUGUCCUAAAGUUAUCAAUCUGUUCAUCCAACCUGUGCCUUGGUCGCAGUGGCAGCGUGCCGUUAGCAAUGCCGUUCAUUGUUUCAUGAGAUUCAGUGUUAGUCAUUUUAGAAUGCCCAUCCCUGCGAUGUAUUCUGGGGCGGGGACAGUCAUCACAGGAUGCAGUCGUUGGGGGAGGUUUCCUAUUCUCAUUUCUAUUUGUGUUUGUACAGCUUCAGUUUGUUUCCCUCCCAGCCCUAUAAUAAUUACCAGUUGUCCUUCACGUUUCUUGGGGUUCCCAUAUGUUAAGGAGGUCUCUGCUCCGGGGUCAUUUAAGGCUCUUACAGUUUGCGAGGACCCGUUUUUCCAAAAUAUUUGGAGCUGCACGAGGGGUUGUUGGUCCUGCACCCGUUGCGUUGGAGCUUGGCCAUCAUUUCAUUCUUGUCUUUACGUGGAGCUGCUUCCCUAACCUCCUUCCAAGGAUACAAACUGGAACAUGGUUCCCAAUCCUUCUCCCCUAGAGCAGCUGAUCCUCCCGCGUUGGGCCCUGUGAGCAGAUGAGAGUCCCACUGAGGCUCUCAAGGGAGUGCAGUAGCUGGAAUUGUUCCUGGGCUGUUUGCUUUAGAAUGUGGCACUUUCUUGCUAGGUUUCUUAACCCCUCUCAGUUUGUGCAUCCUCUGUAAUUCAGGAAUUGGAAAACCAUCCGUCUUAUUGUGAGGCAUCCUGUCUUGUAAUAAAGCUGUAAACACUUAUUUUCAAGAAAUCCUAUUUUCACUGCCUUUCUGCUCUUCCCACUUGUCCAUUCUCCCCUGCCAUCUCCUGCUUUCCCCUGCCCCAUUAGCUCUGCUUUUCUUACCUGUGUCCCUUCUUCUCUUCUGCCCUCUCUCUCCUCCCCUCUCAUUCAUCACAUUUCUGUUCUCCUGGCUUACAAUUUCCCUUCAACUUUGUGGUGGGCUGCCAGGGGAUUCUGUUGGCAGCCUGGAGCAGGGACAGCACAGGGAUAGGGAAGGGAAGGGAAGGAAACAGGAGAGGGAGAGGGGUGGGAUAGGGAAACAUGUAGGGGUAGGGGCAGGACGAGUGAUAGGGACAGGGGCAGGAGAGAUGGGCAGGAGAG